UUUCACCCGAUGCGAACCCUAAAAUCCCGUUUUCCCUUUCUUCCUCCCGCGACGGCGCCGUGUCCCUUCUUCAAGCGAUCCUUCUCGGGCGAAAACGAAGCUAGGGCUUAGUCUCCGGCGGCCGGCGAGCACUUCUCUCCGUGGGUUCUUCACCGAUUCGAAGUCUCCUCGUCGAAGAGAGCCCGUAAGCACGAAGGAAAGGUUGAAUCUUCAAGUUCUCCGAACCCUAGAGGCUUUCUUUUCCGGCUGUGAGUUCAAGAACGGCAAGAUAAAGGUAAAGGAUGGAUAAACUAAAGGAGCAGCAGGAGGGGCAAAAGAUGUGUGUGGCGGUGGCUUGGCUAAAGAAAAUAAAUGACCUGCUUAUGUUUAUUUUAUGUUGAUGACUUGCAUGACUAUGUUAUUCUUACUUACGCUUAUGUUAGGAAUGGAUGAUUAUGAUUCCUUAAGUUUAUAACAUGCUGAGCAUAUUGGUAUGAUUAGUUAUGUUUUAAAUGAACAAUUACUUCCGUUGUUUUGAUUAGAAAAAAAAUGAAAAAGAAAACUAUUUGUACGUACGCUAUGUAAAGUAGAAAGUAAGUAACCCCGUCCUCACUAGGCAGGAGUGGAGGGCGGGCAUUACAGAUUUGGUGUUAAUACUUUAAUGUGGAUGUGUUGUUUUUGAUGUAGGAUGUUUGAUUUGGGGAUGAUGAAUAUAAAGGGCAACGACUUCACUUGGUCUCAACCACCGUCUCCAACAGUGGGUUGCUCCGAUUUUGGCUCAUUGAUGGCUCCUAGCACUAUCGACACCAAUAUGUGGUAGAUGGUUAGAGUGUCGCUCGGAGUAUCCUGUCUGCCGGGUCCUACGUCACAUCUGAAGAU
Zingiber officinale is the source of this 858-nucleotide long non-coding RNA. RefSeq lists it as uncharacterized. Lineage: Eukaryota; Viridiplantae; Streptophyta; Magnoliopsida; Zingiberales; Zingiberaceae. The record is from RefSeq and is a predicted model, not a curated record. The transcript is spliced from 3 exons.